RNAcentral lists this transfer RNA (72 nucleotides) under Candidatus Magasanikbacteria bacterium CG10_big_fil_rev_8_21_14_0_10_43_6. RNAcentral describes it as "tRNA-Met". It matches the Rfam family "tRNA". From Rfam's summary of the family: Transfer RNA (tRNA) molecules are approximately 80 nucleotides in length. Their secondary structure includes four short double-helical elements and three loops (D, anti-codon, and T loops). Lineage: Bacteria; Candidatus Magasanikiibacteriota. The record is from RNAcentral.
GCCGGCGUAGCUCAGUGGCAGAGCGAGGGACUCAUAAACCCUAGGUCGCAGGUUCGAUCCCUGCCGUCGGCA